RNAcentral lists this long non-coding RNA (219 nucleotides) under Elaeis guineensis (African oil palm). Its description in RNAcentral is "long non-coding RNA (EGUI_LNC082480)". Lineage: Eukaryota; Viridiplantae; Streptophyta; Magnoliopsida; Arecales; Arecaceae. The record is from RNAcentral.
ACCUUGUGUGGCAUCUUUCCGAACCUCUCCGACUGUCCGAGCUUCCACAAUACCAUCUGGACUUCUCCGAUAAUGGGCUCCUCCAUUCACCUACCAGACGGCUCCAAACGCUCUCUGAGCUUCACUAUCAACCGAUUUUCUACAGUGAUCGGCUAUUCUCCGAAUCUCAGCCUAGACUUCUUUCGGACUUCGUCAAUGUCCGAGCUUCUCCAAUAACAG